RNAcentral lists this non-coding RNA (29 nucleotides) under Mus musculus (house mouse). The record is from RNAcentral. Lineage: Eukaryota; Metazoa; Chordata; Mammalia; Rodentia; Muridae.
UGCUGAUAAUCAUGAUGUACAUUGUUAAU